CACACUGGAUUGGCACCCACCUCUGAGUUCUGGCCAGGAGGCUUCUUGCCCCAUUCAAAUUGUUACAAAGUUCAGCUGGAAAUUACCUUCUCCCUGUGGUGUUUUCCCCCUACUCCUCUGGCUGCCCUCCUGAUGGAUCCUUGUGGUGCCAGGCAGGAAUGGCCUGCCUGGGGACCCAGUGAGCUGCCAGGGCCUUUGUGAUGCUUCCUCUACCCCUGUAUUUCUCUUGGCUUUCUAAAUGGACUCAGCUCCAGAGUGGAAGCAGCCUAAGGCCCUCACCAGAAGCAGCUGCUCGUGUCAUUUUUCUUGCAGAGCCGGAAGAACUGUCCCUGAUCAACCAGUCAAGCCGUUCACCACCGCUCGUUUAAUUGAAUGCUCCAGUUCUUUUCAUUUCCGAAGUUAUGGUGAGAAGAACUAAGUGGAAAAUGAGUCUCACUCUUGUCACCCAGGCUAAUCUCAGCUCACCGCAGCCUCCACCUCCCAGGUUCAAGUGAUUCUCCUGCCUCAGCCUCCCGAGUAGCUGGGGUUACAGGUAU
This 536-nucleotide long non-coding RNA is filed under the name Homo sapiens (human). RNAcentral describes it as "HSALNT0180251". The record is from RNAcentral. Lineage: Eukaryota; Metazoa; Chordata; Mammalia; Primates; Hominidae.